GAUGAACGCUGGCGGCGUGCCUAAUACAUGCAAGUCGAGCGAACAGACGAGGAGCUUGCUCCUUUGACGUUAGCGGCGGACGGGUGAGUAACACGUGGGUAACCUACCUAUAAGACUGGGAUAACUUCGGGAAACCGGAGCUAAUACCGGAUAAUAUUUCGAACCGCAUGGUUCGAUAGUGAAAGAUGGCUCUGCUAUCACUUAUAGAUGGACCUGCGCCGUAUUAGCUAGUUGGUAAGGUAACGGCUUACCAAGGCAACGAUACGUAGCCGACCUGAGAGGGUGAUCGGCCACACUGGAACUGAGACACGGUCCAGACUCCUACGGGAGGCAGCAGUAGGGAAUCUUCCGCAAUGGGCGAAAGCCUGACGGAGCAACGCCUCGUGAGUGAUGAAGGUCUUCGGAUCGUAAAACUCUGUUAUUAGGGAAGAACAAACGUGUAAGUAACUGUGCACGUCUUGACGGUACCUAAUCAGAAAGCCACGGCUAACUACGUG
RNAcentral lists this ribosomal RNA (497 nucleotides) under uncultured bacterium. Its description in RNAcentral is "partial 16S ribosomal RNA". It matches the Rfam family "Bacterial small subunit ribosomal RNA", at positions 28 to 507 of the family's 1533-position model. The record is from RNAcentral.